AGGAUGAACGCUGGCGGCGUGCCUAACACAUGCAAGUCGAACGUCCUGUCUCGCAAGAGGCAGGGAGUGGCGGACGGGUGAGUACCACGUGGGUCAUCUACCGUGAGGUGAGGAAUACCGGCGAGAAAUCGCCGACAAGACCGCAUAGGCUCGAUGCAAGUCGAGCAAAGCUCUUUCGAGAGAGGGAGCGCCACACGAGGAGCCUGCGCCCGAUUAGCUAGCUGGUGGAGUAACGGUUCACCAGGGCGACGAUCGGUAGCUGGUCUGAGAGGACGAUCAGCCACACUGGGAUUGAGAACGGCCCAGACUCCUACGGGGGGCAGCAGUGAGGAAUUUCGCAAUGGGGGCAACCCUGAACGAGCAACGCCGCGUGCAGGAAGAAGGUUUUCGGAUCGUAAACUGCUUUUCUCGGGGAAGAGAACGGACGGUACCCGAGGAAUCAGCCCGGCUAACUACGUGCCAGCAGCCGCGGU
This 473-nucleotide ribosomal RNA is filed under the name uncultured bacterium. RNAcentral's name for it is "SSU rRNA". It matches the Rfam family "Bacterial small subunit ribosomal RNA", at positions 26 to 521 of the family's 1533-position model. The record is from RNAcentral.